Phyllosticta capitalensis is the source of this 133-nucleotide non-coding RNA. The record is from the annotation of a GenBank genome assembly. NCBI's taxonomy places the organism in Eukaryota, Fungi, Ascomycota, Dothideomycetes, Botryosphaeriales, Phyllostictaceae.
ACCACGGUAGUGUAGUGGUAACACGCUAUGUGCCGGUAGGUGGCAAACUUACUUACACACUUUGUGCGUUAGGCGUAAGAAUCCUCCUUUAGGACUACAUGUAGAGACCUGAGUUCAAUUCUCAGCAGUGGCA